AAUAAGUUUGUGCGUGUGUGUCCGCUGACAGGGGCCACCUGGCUAUAUGGAGGUUUUUUAGUAUCCAUGCAUCUGACCUUUUGAAUGUAAUGUGAUUUAUGGAUUCAUAUAAAUUAUUUGUCUGUGUCAGGAUGACCCCGCCAGUGAAGGGGACCUAGCCUUCCAGCUGAGCUCCCAGCCUUCCAGCUGAGCUCCCAGCCUUCCAGCUGAGCUCCCAGCCUUCCAGCUGAGCUCCUAGCCUUCCAGCUGAGCUCCCAGCCUUCCAGCUCCCAUUCCCAGCUGACCGUGGACCUGCCAGUCAACAUCCUACAGGAACCUCCUGCUAUGACGGAGGAAGACAAUGGCUUGGACAACUCCCAGUUUACAGGAAGCACCAUCAACCUGCAGGACCUGGAGUGAGAGGGAGGGGGACCUGAGCCCUAGGACCAUGCCUCAGGACUACCUGGCCUGAUGACUCCUUUCUGUCCCCAGUCCAUCUGGUCGUGCUGCUGCUCCAGUUUCAACUGUUCUGCCUGCAGCUAUGGAACCCUGACAUGUUCACCGAACGUGCUACCUUGUCCCCAGACCUGCUGUUUUCAACUCUCUAGAGACAGCAGGAGCAGUAGAGAUACUCUGAAUGAUCGGCUAUGAAAAGCCAACUGACAUUUACUCCUGAGGUGUUGACCUGUUGUACCCUCUACAACCACUGUGAUUAUUAUUAUUUGACCCUGCUGGUCAUCUAUGAACAUUUGAACAUCUUGGCUGCUCCAGUUUCAACUGUUCUGCCUUAUUAUUAUUCGACCAUGCUGGUCAUUUAUGAACAUUUGAACAUCUUGGCCAUGUUCUGUUAUAAUCUCCACCCGGCACAGCCAGAAGAGGACUGGCCACCCCACAUAGCCUGGUUCCUCUCUAGGUUUCUUCCUAGGUUUUAGCCUUUCUAGGGAGUUUUUCCUAGCCACCGUGCUUCUACACCUGCAUUGCUUGCUGUUUGGGGUUUUAGGCUGGGUUUCUGUACAGCACUUUGAGAUAUCAGCUGAUGUACGAAGGGCUAUAUAAAUAAAUUUUAUUUGAUUUGAUGUUCUGUUAUAAUCUCCACCCGGCACAGCCAGAUUAGGACUGGCCACCCCUCAUAGCCUGGUUCCUCUCUAGGUUUCUUCCUAGGUCCUGGCCUUUCUAGGGAGUUUUUCCUAGCCACCGUGCUUCUACACCUGUAUUGAUUGCUGUUUGGGAUUUUAUGCUGGGUUUCUGUACAGCACUUUGACAUCAGGUGAUGUAAGAAGGGC
Oncorhynchus tshawytscha (Chinook salmon) is the source of this 1262-nucleotide long non-coding RNA. Lineage: Eukaryota; Metazoa; Chordata; Actinopteri; Salmoniformes; Salmonidae. The record is from Ensembl.